GUGAUUAGUGUUAUAUUUGUAUGUAAUUAUAUGCUAAACAUGUUGAGCGCUCGUGUCACGGGCUGGUGGGUUGGAGCGGAGGUUGCAAUCGUGAGAGACGGGAGACACCAAGGUGGAGGAGCAUAGGGGUGAGAGAUUAGAUUGUUUCUGCUUAAUUUUAUUGAUCCAAAGGCUGGCUAUAUAAAGCCUGAUUACAAGACUAGACUCCUACUCUAAUUGGGAGUUGGCAGGGUAACCUUCUACGGGACUAAACCUUUCCAACUAACCCAGACUCCUAAUCUAACACAACUUCUAUAAUUAAACUAGGCCAUAGUUUAGGCCGUGCAGGCCCAGACUGCGUGGGGCCUGCCUUGCGCCUAUAGGGCUAACCCCACAUGACAUCUCCCCCUCCAUUCUGAUACCAAGUUGUCAUGGGCUGGUGGGUUGGAGCGGAGGUAGUAGUUGUGAGAGACGCGAGGCCGAGGGCGAAUCCCUCGCCGGCCUAUCGUUGGAGAAGGGGGUGAGGAGAGGCGUCGAGGCGCAGGAGCAUAGGGGUGAGAGAUUAGAUUGUUUCUGCUUAAUUUUAUUGAUCCAAAUGCUAUAAAGCCUGAUUACAAGACUAGACUCCUACUCCAAUUGGGAGUUGGCAGGGUAACNNNNNNNNNNGGCGCAGACCGCGUGGGGCCUGCCUUGCGCCUAUAGGGCUGACCCCACAUGACAUCUCGCCAUUGAAGCAGUCUAGGUCGUUAGAUUGACCUGGUUCGAUGGCAAAGAUUAGUUGGAUCUGCCCCUUUGAGUCUAUUGAUAUUGGUAUAGAUACAACAUUCGGCCCCAAAUCUACUACUCAAAGGAGAUUAAUUAGUUGUAGUAUGCAAUAAC
Molecule: long non-coding RNA, 858 nt
Filed under: Hordeum vulgare
Lineage: Eukaryota; Viridiplantae; Streptophyta; Magnoliopsida; Poales; Poaceae
Description: long non-coding RNA (HVUL_LNC012641)
Source: RNAcentral